CCUACGGGCGGCAGCAGUGGGGAAUAUUGCGCAAUGGGCGAAAGCCUGACGCAGCGACGCCGCGUGAGGGAUGAAGGUCUUCGGAUCGUAAACCUCUGUCAGCAGGGAAGAACGGUCACUGUGCUAAUCAGCAGUGAAUUGACGGUACCUGCAAAGGAAGCACCGGCUAACUCAGUGCCAGCAGCCGCGGUAAUACGGAGGGUGUGAGCGUUAAUCGGAAUUACUGGGCGUAAAGCGCUCGUAGGCGGUAUGUCAAGUCAAGGGUGAAAUCCCCGCGCUCAACGUGGGAACUGCCUUUGAAACUGGCAAACUGGAGUGUGUGAGAGGAUAGUGGAAUUCCAGGUGUAGGAGUGAAAGCCGUAGAUAUCUGGAGGAACAUCAGUGGCGAAGGCGACUAUCUGGCACAUAACUGACGCUGAGGAGCGAAAGCGUGGGUAGCAAACAGGAUUAGAUACCCUAGUAGUC
Molecule: ribosomal RNA, 465 nt
Filed under: uncultured bacterium
Lineage: Bacteria
Description: partial 16S ribosomal RNA
Rfam family: Bacterial small subunit ribosomal RNA
Source: RNAcentral